This is a long non-coding RNA of Daphnia magna, 227 nucleotides long. RefSeq lists it as uncharacterized. Lineage: Eukaryota; Metazoa; Arthropoda; Branchiopoda; Diplostraca; Daphniidae. The record is from RefSeq and is a predicted model, not a curated record. The transcript is spliced from 3 exons.
AUUGCUUUGUCGUGAUGUAUGAAUAGGCUAAUGGCUGCUAGUUUUCGAGGAGAGCAUUUUGUGAAUGAAGUGUGCUUCAUAACGUUGGAAGAAACUACUGGCCUACUGCUGUUGCCUCACAUUCAGCCCAGUUGCAGCAAUCAUACUUUCAGCGAUAAACUAUAUUCAAAACUGCAGUUUCCUUCCUACCAGCAAGUCAAAGCCUACCAGCAAGUCAAAGCAAUAAG